AUCAAAGUAGUGGUUUGUUUCUUACACGAAAAGUCCUCCUGUAACCUUCAGGAACAUGAAAAACCAUUGUUUUAGGGUGAUUACCCGUGGUCUUUGUUCAUGACUAAAGGUUCAGUGAAUAGUGUCCUCCAUA
Molecule: small nucleolar RNA, 133 nt
Organism: Vicia villosa (hairy vetch)
Lineage: Eukaryota; Viridiplantae; Streptophyta; Magnoliopsida; Fabales; Fabaceae
Product: small nucleolar RNA snoR74
Exons: 1
Source: RefSeq, a predicted model, not a curated record